CUCAGCUCAGCUUCUCAAAGUCUUCCUGGUGGCGGAGGCAGGAGCUGUGACUGAAUGAAGAGAUCAGAGUGCAGCUCCCAUCCUGGGAGCUGUCUUCACUGGCGCCAUGGCAGCGAUUCAAGAAGCACAGGCAAAGUCAGCCUGCCUGAGCCUUUCCAGCCAAGCAGAGGAUCUUCAUUAUUAAAAGCGGGAAAAUGAUCUGGCUUGGUUCCAGCAGAGACUCUCACCAUUUUUAAGUAUCGUACAUAAUUUCUAUCAAGGAAAUCCCAUGUGGAGAAAAAUACCCUAAAAUCUAAACUCUUGUGAGGUUUUGAAGCUGGGAUAUUCCACUACUGAACAUUAAAUUAGGUACUUUGGAAGCCUUGAAAUGAUACUUUGCUGAAAAAACAGUUUGACCUACAGGGAGAGAUGAAGCAGCUGAACAGCAAGGCUGUGGCCCUGAGGGAGGCUGGACUGCAGAACGGAUCGCAGGGUCGAAGGGAGCCGGAAUCUAUCCUAACAAGCCAUAGGUGCAAGGCAGGAUACACCCUGGACACGACGCCAGUCCUUCACAGGGCAAGCAAAGACAUGCAAACACAGAUGAAAGCCAAUUUUCCCAGAAGCCAACUACGCCACCAGCAUGUCUCUAGACUGUGGGAGGAAAUUGGAGCACACAGAAGAAACACAUCACGAACAGGGGGAGAUCAUACAAUCUCCAGGCAGGUAGCACCCCAGGUCUGGAACUGAACACAGGGCCCCAGCACCGUGAGGCAGCAAUGCUGACCCCUGCACUACAGUGGUGCCAUUACUGCAUAACUACUAUCUCCUAAAUGAAAUAGCUUAGUCAAUAGGUAUAUAUAUUACAUUUGCAGAGUACUUUUAUGAUAAUUUACUAUAAGAAAAUAAAACCUUUUUAGAAUAUGUUAUCUCUGUGGAAGACAUUAGCCUAAUGAAUAAUACUAAAUACCACAGGAAUAUAAAUAGUAAUAGGAAAACGCAACAUCAUAUACAUAAGCAAAUGUUUUCACACACUUGUAAGAGUUCUCUAUACAAACUCUGGUUAAGGAUAAUUAUCCUUAUAAUUAUCUACAAGCCCCCUGUUAUUGCUGUUAAUACCUUUAAACUUUUAUAAUGGCAGACUGUCACAAAGAUGAUUUUCACACAGAAAAUUCUGAGGCAAAACCUCAAUGAUCAGAUUAAACAAGAAAACAAAACAGUCUUACAAUAUUUGUUCCUUUGACAGUAAGAUAAGUUAUUGAGUAUGACAGGUGAACAGGUGUAAUAAGAACCCUAAAUACACCUGUUAGUCUAUAUGAAAUAAGCACAAAGAAGAAGGACUAAUAUCCAGGGAUUCCUAUGGAAUGACUUGACAGAAUCUGGUACAUCAGGUCAUAGGAGAAUAACAUCUGAUGAAGGAAAUAUUUUUUAUUAUAAGCAAAUAUAAACUAAAAAAUGAUACAGUGUGAUCAGAAGCUGGUUUGCAAGCCCUAAGCUUCAGAGGGAGAUGAAAAAGAGAGGCUGACAGUCAAAUGCCCUUCAGGCCUGCUGUUCUACAUGGUGGCAGGUCGGGUUUGGAUCUUCAGAAAAGUGAGAUGAUGCGCUUCUGACAGAAAAGAUACCAGGCUGUUCCUGGUGUGGUGAAGCACUCAUCCCAGUCCACAACAGAAGUGCAGAGGAAGAAAGGAAUCUCAGCACUGGGCUGGCCACGGAGGCUACAUGACUAUUGAAAAACAUACAUUCCUGAAACAUGCCAAGAUGUUUUGUAAAGCCCAAAGCAGGCUGUAAUCAAAGCCCAAGAACAAACUACCUGCUUGUUUAGCCCGUGUGACUACGCUCAUCCACAAUGUCCGCCAUUGGAAUGUGAUUCAAUCUGUAACAGUCUGAGUGCUGGUUUAUGAAAACACAUGCAGUAUGUAACUCACAAUACUCCAAGUCUUAUACUGGACGAAUGCAGGAACAAAGUAAACAUUUUUCCUAAGCAUUGUAUUUGGAAGUCCUCAUUCCUUGAUGGUGAGAAAAGGCAAUGCGAUACUGUUGUCGGCAGUAGAGUUACAGAAAAAAUAAUAAUGCUACAAGUCUGAUAUUUGCCUUGGCAGACGGUGUCACAGUUUCCUUUCCCCAGCUGAGGGCAGACCCAUUCCCUGCUCCAUGAGGGUCCUCCCCAAGAACAGCAGCCAGUGCGAAACCACGCAGUUUCCAGUCGUGACAAACCUAGGGGAAAUACAGUUUGGGACUGCUCGCCGAGUGUGGCAAAUAUCCCAGCACUCACUGAGAAGAACUUCGCUUGCACAAACUUAACCCGGAACAGACUGCUAUGUUUAAUAUGUUAUGAUAUUUAACAAGUUUCGAGCUUUAAUAAAUAAUGUUCUUUCCAUCCAUCUAUUUUCUAACCACUAUAUCCAGUACAGGGUUGCGAGAGGAGCCGGAGCCUGUCUCAGCAAGCUCUGGGAGCAUGGCAGGAUGUGUCCUGGGCAGCACACCUGUCAAUCAUGUUCAUUACCUUAACAUACUGAAGUUUUUAUAUCUCUAUGUGCCUAUAUGCCCAAAAAUGGAGGAACAGUUUUUUUUUUAAGAAUCCCUUGUUUGACAAAGUGUUUGUUAUUAGAAUGCCCACUUCACCCAUUUCUGAAGUCCAAGACCCAUCUGAGUGAUACUCAGCAGCCAGUAUAGACCAGCAACCCCAACACACAGCAGAUCACGGAGAAACAAGAGGAGAAACUCCAUCACCGUUGAAUUAAGGGGAACAUUUAAUACAGCUAGAUUGUUCAAACCCAGAGUGGCCUUUACCCAUGGCACCAGGGGAAAAUGUCCUUUCUCUUAUGAAACAUACUUUAAAGACCUCAGUUUAACAUUUGGAAGAUGUUGUAUCUUACAGCCACAAUACUGGGGAACUGGAAAUUCAGGUUCAGAGAGAAGAGCACCACCUACUGGUCCACCAACACUGCCUGCACAACCUCCUGGUUUUCCUUAGAGGUCUCCCAUCCAAGAACCAGCCAGACCAGCCUUGCUUGGCUUUGAAACCAGACAACAAGCUUGAAACACUGCUGGUAACUACAACACAUAAUAACUACUGUACAUCAUUAAAACAAAGUUUAAUCUAAAAAGAAACUUGCCAUAAAGUCAGGCUAAGGCCUGUUUGAACUUGCCUACCUGUUAGAUUGCAAAACCCAGAAGUUCUACUGUUUCUUCAAGUAAACAUCCUGGCUGAUUUGUAAGAACCUGAUAACCCCGAAUUUCUGCAUCAAGCACUGGCAGGAUUCAGACACCAGCGGCUGAAGAGACGGCCCACAGGCUCAGCAAUGAAAACAUAGAUGAAACAUCCAAGAGACAAGCUUUUUCAACUUCAAUUUUAAAGUGAAUUCCAAGGCUCCUUCCUUUGUAGACAAAAACAACCAUUGAUGGCUCUCAAGGAAAGAAGUCUUUCUAGGAACGCAAGAAAAGAAUGUAUCAUCUUUCAAAGGAUGGAAGCAGAACAAAUUCUAGGAAACGUAACCACCUACCAAUAAUCCAAACAGCCCAAAAACACGACAGGACAGCCUCCAAUUAAACACUAGCUGGUCACAUCCAAUAUGUAAUAUACCGCACCCUCAAGGCCUGUCAGAAGGCAUGAGCAGAGCGGAGAAAGUUUAAAUGAUUCACAAUUAUCUUGGCAUAAGAAACAUUUAUAACAGCAGCUGGAAUUUAGUUUCAGCCCAUUCACGCAGGAAAUGUGAAACUGAAAUCAAACAUUUAGACCUAGAUUUAAUGCCAUUUUUAGCUCCACAUGAAGCCUAACAGGAACAGUUAUGUUUGAGAAGCACAGUGAGGCAGGAUCAUUGCCCUUCUUAUCUACAAUAAAUGACAUCUGAUGAUGAUAAUAAUGAAAACACCAUCCCUCUUCUCUUUUAAAGUUGAAAUAAGCACAUAUCAGGUAUUGGACAGUGUGUGUGAUUUUCAUUCUCUGAGUUCACUCCUAAAGUCCUCUAAAGGAGUCUCUAUUGUCCUCAAAAAAGAGCUUAAGAGUCACGUAACAGGAAAACAAAAGCAGUUGAAUAGUCCCACCAUUGUUUUAAAAAACUGGUGGAUUUGGAGGUAGCAUGCUUCCAUUGUUGUUUUCCUUUCCUGACAGACACACACAAACUCCAGUUCACACAAUAUGAAACAAAGCUUUUCUCAUAGAAUACUUUUGGACUUUGGCCUUCUACCUGUUUAAACAGAAGUACAUGUCUUCCUAGCUGCUCUGGCACCUGAAUGGCGAUUUCAAAAACAAGGCAAAGAUUACCACAGUACCAGCUCUACCAGUCAUUGUGACCUAAAAAUAAAUUAUGCAAAUGUUGAAAAUGUACAUCGCUUCCAUCCAGUUUCUAGCCACUAUAUCCACUACAGGUCUGUGGGAAUGCUGGAGCCUAUCCCAGCAAGCAA
This is a long non-coding RNA of Lepisosteus oculatus (spotted gar), 4380 nucleotides long. RefSeq lists it as uncharacterized. The record is from RefSeq and is a predicted model, not a curated record. NCBI's taxonomy places the organism in Eukaryota, Metazoa, Chordata, Actinopteri, Semionotiformes, Lepisosteidae.